GACGCUUGAGGGAUGUUCCAUUGCUAUAAGGAUAGGCACUGGAAAUGUUAACCGAGUCAUAAUCAAGCUUAGGCUUGGUAUCCUAUUAUUAUUUACCAAAAGAAUUCAGAAUUAAUAUUGUAACAUAGACGUAAAAAAUCUAUAAAACAACUUUUAACAACGGAUCUCUUGGUUCUCGCAUCGAUGAAGAACGUAGCAAAGUGCGAUAACUAGUGUGAAUUGCAUAUUCAGUGAAUCAUCGAGUCUUUGAACGCAACUUGCGCUCAUUGGUAUUCCAAUGAGCACGCCUGUUUCAGUAUCAAAACAAACCCUCUAUCCAACUUUUGUUGAAUAGGAUGACUGAGAGUCUCCUGAUCUAUUCUGAUCUCGAACCUCUUGAAAUGUACAAAGGCCUGAUCUUGUUUGAAUGCCUGAACUUUUUUUUAAUAUAAA
RNAcentral lists this unclassified non-coding RNA (432 nucleotides) under Circinomucor sp. 2 ERP-2018. RNAcentral's name for it is "sequence contains 18S rRNA gene, ITS1, 5.8S rRNA gene, ITS2, 28S rRNA gene". The stretch from base 149 to 301 matches the Rfam family "5.8S ribosomal RNA". Lineage: Eukaryota; Fungi; Mucoromycota; Mucoromycetes; Mucorales; Mucoraceae. The record is from RNAcentral.